This 1037-nucleotide long non-coding RNA is filed under the name Triticum aestivum (bread wheat). RNAcentral's name for it is "long non-coding RNA (TAES_LNC025139)". The record is from RNAcentral. Lineage: Eukaryota; Viridiplantae; Streptophyta; Magnoliopsida; Poales; Poaceae.
CACACCAUGGUUCAGACACCAACUUCCCUGAUGCGACCAACUCAUCAGUUCAGUGAGCAUUGUAUCCUCUUACUGUUGCCAUAAUUACAUGCAUUUCACUUUUGCAUUAUAUGUGUACUAUUGCAUGGUAGUUGAACACGAAUUUGGGUUACUUGACAUCGUAAAAUAUGGUGGCUACUCUUGGAUCCGGUGAAUCUGGUGGUUCUGCUUAUAUUAUGUAUUGUGGGACUAUUGAGUUCACAACGCUUUCCAAAUACUCAUAUGUGAUUUCUUUUUGAUUUAUACUCGUGCAGAAAAAAUCUUGAUUCUUGAAUUGUUGAAGGCAGCUGUAGCUAAGGCUGGUUACACUAGAAGAAUUUUUUUGUCUAUACAUAGUUCAUGAUUCAGCCCUUGUGUACUAAUUCAUGUGUGACGGUUGGUCAUUGAACUGGAUGUUGCUGCUUCUGAAUGUUACGGUGAAAAGGAUCAGACUCAUCAGCCUCGAUUUUCUUGUGUCUUGAAAUGCAGGUUUGGUUCAUCUAACACUAUAUUACGUCCAUUUGUCCAGUUCAAUUUUUUUUACCAUCUUGCAAUGCGAGGUACAAGAGAGCAUGUGUUGUUCUAUGUCUUAUAUCCUGUUAAAUCCUGUAGGGGAACGACAUUGUAAGCUUGGUUAGUUUGAUGUCCUACGGAGAAGCAAAAUUGGUUGUGCCCACUGCCAGAAGAUUCAUCUUUGUACUCUCUUCUCCAUUUAUCAGUGCAACGAGAGGCAGAGUUAGUCAUGGUGAUGAUCAUAUUGUAUUAUUGUGAUGCUUGCAGACUGGGAGUGUAUUUAUACUUCAUGCUUAUGAGUUAUGAUGAAUCAUUUCGAUGGCAUUACAUAGGUCAGUGGGAAAAGGUCAUUAGGGACUAGCAUGUUUCACUGUUGUGAUUACAAACUAAAACUUGUGCAAGUAUGAUAAAUGGGUGCAUUGAUCUCUUUUUUGUUGUAGUGCAACACCUUGGAGAUGCACACAAUUUGAUAUUACAGUUCUAUAACAUCUCGGAGAUGCACACAA